Molecule: long non-coding RNA, 1008 nt
Organism: Vanessa atalanta (red admiral)
Lineage: Eukaryota; Metazoa; Arthropoda; Insecta; Lepidoptera; Nymphalidae
Exons: 2
Source: RefSeq, a predicted model, not a curated record
UAACAACAAGUACAAGGGUAUUCUUAUUUUGUUAUCAAAAACAUCGUGUGAAAAAAGCAAAAAUAUUUAAUGUUUAUGCUGUUAGGCUGUACGGUAUAAUACCUUUGCUUUCCGACAUGACCAAAGUCAACAAGUUGUUGUGUCAAAUGUCAACGUCAACUCAAUUAUUGAAAUACCGGAGUUCUUAUUUGUAAACUACAAAUUGAAAAUUUGUCACCAAAUAAUAAUUGAAUUGAAUUAAAUUACAACAUAUUAUCACGGAAAGCAACAAUAUAACUAGUCUAUGCAAUUUUAUGCUAUCUGGAUAUCCAAGGAAAACAGACGUAGUCUUCAAAUUCUUUCGGGAAUAUGCAUACACAAUCAAAAGCUAAUGACUAUACAUGAUUUUGAUGACAACUUUCCCAUAAAACAGCAAGCUAAAUUUAGUACCAGAUAAUCUUAAGAUCCGGCGCCGCUUCGGACUAAAUGUUAAUAAUUCUUAAGUAUAUAGUCUUAUUGACAUUAUUGCUCUUCCUAAGACGUCAAAACGAAACCUUAACUUCAAAACAAAGGCGACAAAUAACUACGGAAAAGAAAAUGGCAAAGGAACUUUAAGAAGAAGGUAUCAAAAAGAGAAAAUUAGAACAAACAAAACCAGAAUAUGCAGAAAAACAAAAUAUAGGAAAUGGUAAAGGGGAAAGAAAAAGGAAGGCAGAAGACAGUUCAUAAAUUAAAAAGAAAAUAUUGUCAAAAUGUUUAGGAUUCAGCAGAAUCUGAAAUAAAUAACAAUUUUAUACAUGGAAACUAUUAUAUGGUCUAAGUAUUGUUAAGAUUAACAAGUAAGGCGGGAAACAAAACAAAGUUAAACAGCAGCUAAAUUUACAAAAUUCUGGCAGACUCCGAUUAGGAUAUUCUCAAUUAGUUAAGGUAAACUCUGCUUUAUAUAAGUAGUACUAUACUAUACUAGUAUUUUGGUCUAAAAGACCAGCUAAUCAAAAAAGUUUUAUAGAAAUAUAUGUUAGAAAAUUA